This 492-nucleotide ribosomal RNA is filed under the name uncultured bacterium. RNAcentral's name for it is "partial 16S ribosomal RNA". It matches the Rfam family "Bacterial small subunit ribosomal RNA", at positions 29 to 507 of the family's 1533-position model. The record is from RNAcentral.
AGUGAACGCUGGCGGUAGGCCUAACACAUGCAAGUCGAACGGCAGCACAGUAAGAGCUUGCUCUUACGGGUGGCGAGUGGCGGACGGGUGAGGAAUACAUAGGAAUCUACUUUUUCGUGGGGGAUAACGUAGGGAAACUUCCGCUAAUACCGCAUACGACCUACGGGUGAAAGCAGGGGAUCUUCGGACCUUGCCCGAUUGUAUGAGCCGAUGUCGGAUUAGCUAGUUGGCGGGGUAAAGGCCCACCAAGGCGACGAUCCGUAGCUGGUCUGAGAGGAUGAUCAGCCACACUGGAACUGAGACACGGUCCAGACUCCUACGGGAGGCAGCAGUGGGGAAUAUUGGACAAUGGGCGCAAGCCUGAUCCAGCCAUACCGCGUGGGUGAAGAAGGCCUUCGAGUUGUAAAGCCCUUUUGUUGGGAAAGAAAAGCAGCAGAUGAAUACCCCGCUGUUCUGACGGUACCCAAAGAAUAAGCACCGGCUAACUUCGUG